GCUCCAAUAGCGUAUAUUAAAGUUGUUGCAGUUAAAAAGCUCGUAGUUGGAUUUCGGGAUGGGCCGGCCGGUCCGCCGCAAGGCGUGUUACUGACCGGGCUGUUCUUCUUCGCAAGACUGCAUGUGCUCUUAACUGAGUGUGUGUAGGAUUUGCGACGUUUACUUUGAAAAAAUUAGAGUGUUUAAAGCAGGCAAUUGCC
RNAcentral lists this ribosomal RNA (200 nucleotides) under uncultured eukaryote. RNAcentral describes it as "partial 18S ribosomal RNA". It matches the Rfam family "Eukaryotic small subunit ribosomal RNA", at positions 588 to 795 of the family's 1831-position model. The record is from RNAcentral.